CCCAAAGGAAAACUGCAUAAGCCUAUACAUGGCAGGAGAGAAUGCAUGUGGCAGACCCAGAGGGUGCUCUGUCUCUGAUAAUCGAGACUCAAGGCCUGCGAAGUGAAAGGCUAUCCUUCCGUAACCUGUUGUGCCUGCCCAGGCAGCCAGUUAGAAAAAAAAGUGCAGAAGGAAGAGCAGCUUUAGGGCUAUCUGAGCAUCCUAACGUUCAGUUCGCCCUUUUACCCAGAGGUCAGUGCUGCUAGAAUUCAGCCCAUUUAUCUGUACGGAGUUCCCUGGCUAUGGUUUCCCUGCAUUUAUAACACCACCAAUAGGGCAUCGCAGUUCAGUGCGAAGAGCUGACUUCCAGGUAAGACUCCACUUCCCUCCCUCCUCAUCAGACUUCUCACCAAUUCCUUUGCUUCUAAAACCAGAGAUCAUCCUUUGAAUACUUAGAUGUGUUUAUCUCCAAUUCUUCUGGCCUGUCACUCUGCCACUUUGAUUGGUGACUGCCUCACUUGACCCAUUAUGUUAGAAAUAAUAUCCCCAGACUUCACCCCCUUCCCUAACUUAUCUUCUCACCAACUGCUUUGUCCUUCCCUUUUUCCUUCCUAGGGCCAUGAUCGAAUCAAUUCAGCCAUUGCUUCUGGAAAGGGUGUCCCUCGUUGCCUCAUUUCCCAUGACCAUUCCUAUGACUUUCCCCCAAAGGACCUCCCUCUCUGAUCACCACUCCCCUAUGUGCAUUCCCAACUCAGAGUCUGAGGCUCUAUUCACUACAUCAAGCCAUUGAGGGGGAGGAUGAGGAUUUCGUUGAACAAACUUGGGAACUCACAUUGCAAAUCUGCUCCCAACAGUAGGCAGAAAUAGGUGGCUGAGGCUAUGCCUCCAACUUGCUAGGGCUAUAACUCUGGGGAGGCAUCACAGUGCUCUUCAGUGGUUUCAGUCUCCAUCCCAAUAGCAACUCUAUCUUUUUCAUCUAAUUAAGGAGAUGCUUAGCGUUGUACCAGGAAGCUCCAAGGGGCAGCUUCCUCAUCUAGGAAAAGAGUAAAAUAAUGUGUUCAUGGUUUUAUUGGGUUGUGAGCCCUAAAGAUAUGGGUCUGUUUACUGACCAGGGCUUGGAAAUAAAGGAAUGAUGGACUCCUGGACA
RNAcentral lists this long non-coding RNA (1126 nucleotides) under Monodelphis domestica (gray short-tailed opossum). Its description in RNAcentral is "lncRNA (ENSMODG00000039807.1)". The record is from RNAcentral. Lineage: Eukaryota; Metazoa; Chordata; Mammalia; Didelphimorphia; Didelphidae.